GGUCAAAUGAAUUAAGGCGUAUGGCGGAGACCUAGGCACUCAGAGACGAUGAAGGGCGCAGAUACCGGCGAAACGCUUCGGGGAGCUGGCAACAAGCUUUGAUCCGAAGAUUCCCGAAUAGGGCAACCUAUUAAACUUCCUAUACAAUUCAUAUUUAGGAAAGAGAGAACCCAGUGAACUGAAACAUCUAAGUAGCUGGAGGAAAAGAAAGCAAAAGCGAUUCCCGUAGUAGCGGCGAGCGAACUGGGAUCAGCCUAAACCUGGGUAGAAAUACUCCGGUGUAGUGGGAAGACGCAGCUUUAUCUUGCCAUCGCCAGCGUUAGCAGGCUUCUCACCGUAAAGGUGAGAAGGGCUGCUUUGCCGACCGUAAAAGUGAGGCAAGAUAAAGCAAAAUAAAGAAAAAACUAUCUUUUUUUUUUCAUAUAAAAAAAGAAAACUGAAUCAGGCGAAGCAGCUGAAUCCUGUACCAUAGACGGUGAAAGUCCGGUAGCUCAUAUUAGAGUUUUUUCUUGUCAAAUCCCGAGUAGCAUGGGACACGUGAAAUCCCGUGUGAAUCUGCGAGGACCACCUCGUAAGGCUAAAUACUCCUGAGUGACCGAUAGCGAAAUAGUACCGCGAGGGAAUGGUGAAAAGAACCCCUGUGGGGGAGUGAAAUAGAACAUGAAACCGUACGCUGACAAGCAGUGGGAGGUCCGUAAGGGCUGACCGCGUGCCUAUUGAAGAAUGAGCCGGCGACUUAUAGGGAGUGGCUUGGUUAAGGAGUUUAAUCCGGAGCCGAAGCGAAAGCAAGUCUGAAUAGGGCAAAUAUAGUCACUUCUUAUGGACCCGAACCCGGGUGAUCUAAUCAUGACCAGAUUGAAGCAUGGGUCACACCUUGUGGAGGAUCGAACACACCAAUGUUGAAAAAUUGGGUGAUGAGUUGUGAUUAGGGGAGAAAUUCCAAUCGAACUCGGAGCUAGCUGGAUCUCCCCGAAAUGCGUUGAGGCGCAGCGGUAACGAUGAGCUGUCUAGGGGUAAAGCGACUGUUUCGAUGCGGGCUGCGAAAGCGGUACCAAGUCGUGGCAAACUCAGAAUACUAGGCAAAGCCUUCCGUGAACCAGUGAGUGAUGGGGCGAUAAGGUUCUGUCACAAAAGGGAAACAGCCCAGAUCACCAGCUAAGGCCCCAAAAUGGUCACUAAGUGGAAAAGGAUGUGAGAAUGCUAAAACAACUAGAAAGUUCGCUUAGAAGCAGCUACCCUUUAAAGAGUGCGUAAUAGCUCACUAGUAAAGCGUUCUUGCGCCGACAAUGGCCGGGACUAAGUGACCUGCCGAAGCUGUGGUAUAUUUAAUUUUUAGACUUACCUUUGCUUCAUAAAGUCGCAUCUGCGACUCUUGCUUUUGCUCUUGUCCUCACCCUAAAGGGUUAGGGCAUAGACCAUGGGACUCUUGUCCUAAUUAUGUGCUUCGCACAUAAUGGGAUGAAGUAUAAGUCAAAUUUUAAAAAUAGGUAGGGGAGCGUUCUACUUUGGGUGAAGUCUUUAUGGAAAUGAGGAUGGACAGAGUAGAAGUGAGAAUGUUGGCUUGAGUAACGAAAACAUUGGUGAGAAUCCAAUGCCCCGAAAACCUAAGGGUUCCUCCACUAGGUUCGUCCGUGGGGGGUGAGUCAGGACCUAAGGCGAGGCCGAAAGGCGUAGUCGAUGGCAAACAGGUUAAUAUUCCUGUACUUAUUCUAUUAUUGAACAGGGGGACGAAGGAGGCUAAGCUAGGUCUGUUUCUGGAUUGCAGUGGAAGCGUUUAGGUGUUGAUAGGUAGAAAAAAAGCUAUCCUUGAGCUAAGACGUGAUCCCUAAAAAUGGCUUCGGUUGUUUUUAGCUAGUGAUGCCAAACUUCCAAGAAAAGCUCUUACGAUUUAGGUAGAAUGACCUGUACCUGAAACCGACACAGGUAGGUUAGUAGAGAAUACUAAGGGGCGCGAGAGAACUCUCUCUAAGGAACUCGGCAAAUUGGCCCCGUAACUUCGGAAGAAGGGGCGCCUUCGUUUGUCAGCAACAGCUGGCGAAAAAAGGUCGCAGUGACCAGGCCCAAGCAACUGUUUAUCAAAAACACAGGUCUCCGCAAAGUCGUAAGACAAUAUAUGGGGGCUGACGCCUGCCCAGUGCUGGAAGGUUAAGGAAGUUGGUUAGGGUGUAAACUUGAAGCUGACAACCGAAGCCCCAGUGAACGGCGGUCGUAACUAUAACGAUCCUAAGGUAGCGAAAUUCAUUGUCAAGUAAGUUUUGACCCGCACGAAAGGCGUAAUGAUUUGGGCACUGUCUCGGAGAGAGGCUCGGUGAAAUAGACUUGUUCGUGAAGAUGCGGACUACCUACACCUGGACAGAAAGACCCUAUGAAGCUUGACUGUAUCCUGGAAUUGGGUUCGGGCUUUUCUUGCGCAGCCUAGGUGGGAGGCUAUGAAGAAUUCCUUCUGGGGAAUUUGGAGCCAUCAUUGAGAGACCACUCUAGAAGAGCUAGAAUCCUAAUGGCGAUCCUUGAAUCAGGACGCUUGACAAUUUCAGGUGGGCAGUUUUUUUGGGGCGAAAACCUCCUAAAAGGUAACGGAGGUGUGCAAAGGUUCCCUCAGCCUGGACGGAAAUCAGGCAUUGAGUGUAAAAGCAAAAGGGAGCUUGACUGCAAGACCUACAAGUCGAGCAGGGGCGAAAGCCGGCUUUAGUGAUCCGACGGUACCGUGUGGAAGGGCCGUCGCUCAACGGAUAAAAGUUACUCUAGGGAUAACAGGCUGAUCUUCCCCAAGAGUCCACAUCGACGGGAAGGUUUGGCACCUCGAUGUCGGCUCAUCACAUCCUCGGUCUGCAGUAGGUCCGAAGGGUUGGGCUGUUCGCCCAUUAAAGUGGUACGUGAGCUGGGUUCAAAACGUCGUGAGACAGUUUGGUCCAUAUCCGGUGUAAGCGUUGGAACAUUGAGGAAAGCUUUUCCUAGUACGAGAGGAUUGGAAAGGACAUGCCUAUGGUGUACCUGUUAUCACUCCAGUGGUAAACGCAGGGUAGCUACGCAUGGUUUGAUUAGCGCUGACAGCAUAUAAGUGCGAAACAGAUUCCAAGAUGAGUGUUCCCCAUUAAGCCGCGCGUAGACAAUGCGAUUGAUAGGUAUUACGUGUAAGAGCAGCAAUGCUUUAAGCUGAGAUAUACUAAAGGCUGAUUGAUUUUGACC
This 3186-nucleotide ribosomal RNA is filed under the name Lobochlamys segnis. Its description in RNAcentral is "large subunit ribosomal RNA". It matches the Rfam family "Bacterial large subunit ribosomal RNA". Lineage: Eukaryota; Viridiplantae; Chlorophyta; Chlorophyceae; Chlamydomonadales; Chlamydomonadaceae. The record is from RNAcentral.